GCAUAUCAAUAAGCGGAGGAAAAGAAACCAACAGGGAUUGCCCUAGUAACGGCGAGUGAAGCGGCAACAGCUCAAAUUUGAAAUCUGGCUCUCUUUGGGGGUCCGAGUUGUAAUUUGCAGAGGAUGCUUUGGCAUUGGCGGCGGUCUAAGUUCCUUGGAACAGGACAUCACAGAGGGUGAGAAUCCCGUACGUGGUCGCCUGCCUUUGCCGUGUAAAGCUCCUUCGACGAGUCGAGUUGUUUGGGAAUGCAGCUCUAAAUGGGAGGUAAAUUUCUUCUAAAGCUAAAUACUGGCCAGAGACCGAUAGCGCACAAGUAGAGUGAUCGAAAGAUGAAAAGUACUUUGGAAAGAGAGUCAAAAAGCACGUGAAAUUGUUGAAAGGGAAGCGCUUGCAGCCAGACUUGCCCGCAGUUGCUCACCUAGGCUUUGGCCUGGGGCACUCUUCUGCGGGCAGGCCAGCAUCAGUUUGGGCGGUUGGAUAAAGGCCUCUGUCACGUAUCUCCCUUCGGGGUGACCUUAUAGGGGAGGCGCAAUGCACCCAGCCCGGACUGAGGUCCGCGCAUCUGCUAGGAUGCUGGCGUAAUGGCUGUAAGCGGCCCGUCUUGAAACACGGACCAAGGAGUCUAACAUCUAUGCGAGUGUUUGGGUGUCAAGCCCGAGCGCGCAAUGAAAGUGAACGGAGGUGGGAACCCUUUGGGUGCACCAUCGACCGAUCCUGAUGUCUUCGGAUGGAUUUGAGUAAGAGCAUAGCUGUUGGGACCCGAAAGAUGGUGAACUAUGCUUGAAUAGGGUGAAGCCAGAGGAAACUCUGGUGGAGGCUCGCAGCGGUUCUGACGUGCAAAUCGAUCGUCAAAUUUGGGCAUAGGGGCGAAAGACUAAUCGAACCAUCUAGUAGCUGGUUCCUGCCGA
RNAcentral lists this ribosomal RNA (909 nucleotides) under Paraphaeosphaeria sporulosa. RNAcentral describes it as "eukaryotic LSU rRNA". It matches the Rfam family "Eukaryotic large subunit ribosomal RNA", at positions 38 to 964 of the family's 3401-position model. Lineage: Eukaryota; Fungi; Ascomycota; Dothideomycetes; Pleosporales; Didymosphaeriaceae. The record is from RNAcentral.